CUCUAUAUCAGCCUAGAGGGGUCUGUCCUAUAACCGAUAAUCCACGAAGAACCUUACCACCUCUUGCCACCAGCCUAUAUACCGCCGUCUUCAGCACAUUUCACAAAAAAUGAAGCCAAAUAGUCUCACACACUAGCACGUCAGGUCAAGGUGUAGCUUAUGGAGUGGAAGAGAUGGACCACAAUACCACAACACACAGAAACCACGCUGAAACACGAGGAAAAAGACGAAUUUAGCAGUAAGGGGGGCUGAAUACCCCACUGAACAGCCCCGCCCUAGAGUACGCACACACCGCCCGUCACCCU
This 305-nucleotide ribosomal RNA is filed under the name Draco spilonotus. Its description in RNAcentral is "partial small subunit ribosomal RNA". The record is from RNAcentral. Lineage: Eukaryota; Metazoa; Chordata; Lepidosauria; Squamata; Agamidae.